AUACUCUGGUUUCUCUUCAGAUCGUAUAAAUCUUUCGCCUUUUACUAAAGAUUUCCGUGGAGAGGAACAAGCACGAGUGUCGUGGAAUUUUCUGAGGCUCUGCUUCGGCAGAAA
Molecule: small nuclear RNA, 114 nt
Organism: Anser brachyrhynchus (Pink-footed goose)
Lineage: Eukaryota; Metazoa; Chordata; Aves; Anseriformes; Anatidae
Gene: U5
Rfam family: U5 spliceosomal RNA
About the family: U5 RNA is a component of both types of known spliceosome. The precise function of this molecule is unknown, though it is known that the 5' loop is required for splice site selection and p220 binding, and that both the 3' stem-loop and the Sm site are important for Sm protein binding and cap methylation.
Source: Ensembl